RNAcentral lists this small RNA (124 nucleotides) under Marmota monax (woodchuck). The record is from RNAcentral. Lineage: Eukaryota; Metazoa; Chordata; Mammalia; Rodentia; Sciuridae.
GCUGGGCACGGUGGCACAUGCCUAUAAUCCCAAUAGCUUGGAGGCUGAGGCAGGAGAAUUGCAAGUUCAAAGGCAGCCUCAGCAAUGGUGAGGCGCUAAGCAACUCAGUGAGACCCUGUCUCUC